Molecule: unclassified non-coding RNA, 188 nt
Filed under: plant metagenome
Description: partial contains small subunit ribosomal RNA and internal transcribed spacer 1
Source: RNAcentral
AAGUCGUAACAAGGUCUCCGUUGGUGAACCAGCGGAAGGGAUCACUAUAGAGUUUUAUAACCCAAUCCCAAUCCGAUGUAAUUUAACCUCUGUUGCCUCGGCGGAGCUACCCUGUAGCCGCCGCCGACGGCCCAUUAAACUCUUGUUAUUAUUAGUAUAUCUGAGCUUCUUAUUUUAAUAAGUUAAAA